Molecule: ribosomal RNA, 251 nt
Filed under: uncultured Nakamurella sp.
Lineage: Bacteria; Bacillati; Actinomycetota; Actinomycetes; Nakamurellales; Nakamurellaceae
Description: partial 16S ribosomal RNA
Rfam family: Bacterial small subunit ribosomal RNA
Source: RNAcentral
CGUAGGGUGCAAGCGUUGUCCGGAAUUAUUGGGCGUAAAGAGCUCGUAGGCGGUUUGUCGCGUCGAAUGUGAAAACCGGGGCUCAACCCCGGGCCUGCAUUCGAUACGGGCAGACUAGAGUUCGGUAGGGGAGUCUGGAAUUCCUGGUGUAGCGGUGAAAUGCGCAGAUAUCAGGAGGAACACCGGUGGCGAAGGCGGGACUCUGGGCCGAUACUGACGCUGAGGAGCGAAAGCGUGGGGAGCGAACAGGA